RNAcentral lists this ribosomal RNA (468 nucleotides) under uncultured bacterium. RNAcentral describes it as "partial 16S ribosomal RNA". It matches the Rfam family "Bacterial small subunit ribosomal RNA", at positions 28 to 507 of the family's 1533-position model. The record is from RNAcentral.
GACGAACGCUGGCGGCGUGCUUAACACAUGCAAGUCGAACGGAAAGGCCCUGCUUUUGUGGGGUGCUCGAGUGGCGAACGGGUGAGUAACACGUGAGUAACCUGCCCUUGACUUUGGGAUAACUUCAGGAAACUGGGGCUAAUACCGGAUAGGAGCUCCUGCUGCAUGGUGGGGGUUGGAAAGUUUCGGCGGUUGGGGAUGGACUCGCGGCUUAUCAGCUUGUUGGUGGGGUAGUGGCUUACCAAGGCUUUGACGGGUAGCCGGCCUGAGAGGGUGACCGGCCACAUUGGGACUGAGAUACGGCCAAGACUCAUAAGGGAGGCAGCAGUGGGGAAUAUUGCACAAUGGGCGGAAGCCUGAUGCAGCAACGCCGCGUGCGGGAUGACGGCAUUCGGGUUGUAAACCGCUUUCGCCUGUGACGAAGCGUGAGUGACGGUAAUGGGUAAAGAAGCACCGGCUAACUACGUG